RNAcentral lists this long non-coding RNA (578 nucleotides) under Homo sapiens (human). RNAcentral describes it as "HSALNT0145059". Lineage: Eukaryota; Metazoa; Chordata; Mammalia; Primates; Hominidae. The record is from RNAcentral.
AAGCCCGGUGUUCAGAAGCUGCCAUCUCAGACGCCUGCCCACCUUGAGGCAGUGGCGGGGGAGGUGACUGGCAUUACAAUGAUCAUAACAAGGGGACGAUGAAAAGCCCUGUUUGCUGAGAGAAGCCUCACUGCUGCGAUCAGCUCCAGCCAAAAACCCAAAGCCAGAUAUUGAUAGCAGCUGGUUCCUCCUGGCCUGAGCGGGACUUUCACAGAGACCGCCACGCCCAACUUCCCUGAAGAACGCGCCUCAGACCCGCCGAAGAGGAAAGACAGCUGUGGAGGCCCUGGAUCUGGGAGGGCCGACCCAGCCCCCAGCCUGUGGGGAAGUGCAUUCAGAACCCGGAGAUUCUGCUCACCCCUAGCUGCCCGACGUGGGGAAACCCCCACCCUCUCCAUUAGAAGAGAUCGGUACCGUCUGGCCGCAUCACCAGCUCACGCUGACACACGUUUAUUGGGGGCCUCCUGUGUGCUGGGCUUGGUGGGGGAAACCACCCACAUUCCUACAGCCUCCAGAGGAGGCCAAGGCCCCCUCCCCGUCAUCUCUCACGCCUCUUCUCCUUCUCCAGGGAGCUCGUA